RNAcentral lists this ribosomal RNA (487 nucleotides) under uncultured bacterium. RNAcentral's name for it is "partial 16S ribosomal RNA". It matches the Rfam family "Bacterial small subunit ribosomal RNA", at positions 355 to 857 of the family's 1533-position model. The record is from RNAcentral.
UGGGGAAUAUUGCACAAUGGGCGAAAGCCUGAUGCAGCAACGCCGCGUGAGUGAUGAAGGUCUUCGGAUUGUAAAGCUCUGUCUUUUGGGACGAUAAUGACGGUACCAAAGGAGGAAGCCACGGCUAACUACGUGCCAGCAGCCGCGGUAAUACGUAGGUGGCGAGCGUUGUCCGGAUUUACUGGGCGUAAAGGGUGCGUAGGCGGAUGUUUAAGUGAGAUGUGAAAUACCCGGGCUUAACUUGGGUGCUGCAUUUCAAACUGGAUAUCUAGAGUGCAGGAGAGGAGAAUGGAAUUCCUAGUGUAGCGGUGAAAUGCGUAGAGAUUAGGAAGAACACCAGUGGCGAAGGCGAUUCUCUGGACUGUAACUGACGCUGAGGCACGAAAGCGUGGGUAGCAAACAGGAUUAGAUACCCUGGUAGUCCACGCCGUAAAACGAUGAGUACUAGGUGUAGGAGGUAUCGACCCCUUCUGUGCCGCAGUAAACA